UUUUUUUUUGUCUUUUUCGUUUUUAUCGGUACCAGGGAUCGAACUCACGACUGCCUGCUUUCAAGGCAGGCGCUUAUGCCGCUGAGCUAAAUCCCCAACCCCUAAAACAUUUCUAAUAUUAAAACACUUAAUUUUUGUAUUCAGAAUAUUUUAUAUGUGGCCCAUGAUAAUACUUCAUUAAUGCAGAUCAGGCAAGCCACAAGUUUGGAUAUCCACUGACAUUUUUCUACUGACAUUUUCAGUGAUUAGCAUCAGAUAUCUUUAGGGAACAUUAAGACUUCUACUUACACAAGGCAUGGUGGCACACACCUGAAAUCCCAGCGCUCAGGAGGGUGAGGCUGGAGGAUUGCUGCAAGUUCGAGACCAGUCUUGGCUAGAAAGUGAGUUCAAGGCCAGCCUGAACCACAUAGCAAGACCCUAUCUCAAAAAGACAAAAGGAAAAAAGAAGACUACUACUUAUAUCUUCCAGUAUAGUUUACAAUUGAUCCCAAAGCAAACACAGGCUGGGAUUAUACUUCAGCUUGCCCAGAAAAGCUCCAAGUUUGUGCUGAAAAAAAAAAAGAAAAAUGCCUUGGUGUGCAGGUCUGUCUCAGCAGUGUGACUGUGGCUCCUAUCUAAACACUGCCAAGAGAAAAUAGUUAUCUGCAAGGCUGCUUCUGCCAGCCCUGGGACUGCUUUCUCCACCACAGCCCCUCACAUCUUCCCAUUCCUGCUCCCCACUUCAGGCCUGGCCUGCUGUUUCUUCUGCCUUGGACACCUUUCCUCCUCUCUUCUUCGCUCUCCCUGCAGGCAGACCCCUUGAGGAGUACUCUUUCUCUUUCCCACAGUGAGUCUGAUCGGGAUCCCAAUUCCAGUCCCAUUAGCACAUCCUUCCCUUCCCUGCAGUGGCUCAUGACAGUCACUUCACAUUUACCCACUCUGUAUCAGGCCAGCAUCCCUGUCUGUCAGGUCAUCUCAUCCCCAAGGCCUGACUCAAUCCCUAGUACAGAAGAAAAUGCCUGGUACAUAAUGGAUUGCUGCAUCCUGGCUCUAGAAGACACGUCUUGACCUAACUGGAAGUGUUAAAGUGCAACUCCUACCGUGUGCUUCCAGUCCUCUUCACAAUCGCUUUGCAAAGAACCUGCAACAAAAAGAAAAAGAAAACAUCAUAGUGGAAGCAGAUGGUGGAAUAAGGGGCAUAGUUCAAGGCAGCCGGAAACUGAACAGGGUAGGGCACCAGGGUAGAAGGGGCAAGUGAUGACCUGGACAUCUCUGUUAAACCAUUCAUACACAACUAGGAAAUGCCAUCGACCUCUGGAGAGAUGCCAAAGCCUGUCUGGCCACACCAUGCUGCCCUGAAGACUCACUAGGUAUGGCGCCAGACCUGUAGUCACCUGCCUGAUGCGGUGCCAGAAAAUUAAUGCAUUUCCACAAUGAAAAAAGAAAAAUGUCCCCAAACUUUUCAGUUCAGGGAUUCUAGGCAAAGCCUACAGGAUGACUAAGACCUUCAUGUAGCCAAAUUUUGGUAGGUACUGAAGGACCCCAACCAGUGCCAUCCUGAUCCAACCUGCCAGACCCCAGCACAGCUGCACCUGGGGGCUUGAGACCUUAUCUGCCCUGUGCUUUCCCAAACCCUGUUCUUGGGCAGCCACUGCUGCUCCCGCUCUCUCAAGCUUUGUUCUUGGCAGGUAGGCACCCCCUUUUUCCCUGAAUUCCCUCUGCCCCAUGACCCUACAAAAGACCCCAUCACCUACGCAAGAGUUCCUGGUCUAGUCACCAGCACUAUUGCUAUUCCUGUCAGGUUUGUUCCGAAAUGAACCUGUGCUGUUGGCCUGAACCUGUGUUUCAUCUUUUCCUGUAUCCUGACAGGUAUAGGAACAUGUAUCCCAAGUACGCAACCUGGAACUGGAAAAAUGACCGAAGGAUGGAUUUGGGGAUCUGCUGGAUGUGCUGGGCACAAAGAAUCAAGGACCAAGGAAGCGAGGGAAGCGCCUCCCUGUACCACCAGUGCUUUACAAAAUACCAACAAGCGGAACGUAGCUCAGUAAGGAAAUGAAAACACUUACAUGCCGACUCAGGCAUAGGCACACCUUCGCCCAGGGGCACAAAGAAUCAAGGACCAAGGAAGCGAGGGAAGCGCCUCCCUGUACCACCAGUGCUUUACAAAAUACCAACAAGCGGAACGUAGCUCAGUAAGGAAAUGAAAACACUUACAUGCCGACUCAGGCAUAGGCACACCUUCGCCCAGGGGCACAAAGAAUCAAGGACCAAGGAAGCGAGGGAAGCGCCUCCCUGUACCACCAGUGCUUUACAAAAUACCAACAAGCGGAACGUAGCUCAGUAAGGAAAUGAAAACACUUACAUGCCGACUCAGGCAUAGGCACACCUUCGCCCAGGGGCACAAAGAAUCAAGGACCAAGGAAGCGAGGGAAGCGCCUCCCUGUACCACCAGUGCUUUACAAAAUACCAACAAGCGGAACGUAGCUCAGUAAGGAAAUGAAAACACUUACAUGCCGACUCAGGCAUAGGCACACCUUCGCCCAGGGGCACAAAGAAUCAAGGACCAAGGAAGCGAGGGAAGCGCCUCCCUGUACCACCAGUGCUUUACAAAAUACCAACAAGCGGAACGUAGCUCAGUAAGGAAAUGAAAACACUUACAUGCCGACUCAGGCAUAGGCACACCUUCGCCCAGGGGCACAAAGAAUCAAGGACCAAGGAAGCGAGGGAAGCGCCUCCCUGUACCACCAGUGCUUUACAAAAUACCAACAAGCGGAACGUAGCUCAGUAAGGAAAUGAAAACACUUACAUGCCGACUCAGGCAUAGGCACACCUUCGCCCAGACAGCACUACUGAAAACGCUCUGAACUCUGUGUGAUGGAAAUUUCCAGUCAGGAGCGGUGAGUCAGAGGCUGUGAAGUCCUGCCAGCUCAUCUGUGGGGGCGACAAGAGCAGAAAUUUGCAAAACAAGAUGAACAUUGGUCGGUGGUAGACUCCUGAUUCCUACAGAAAGUCAAGCCAUGGGGUUCCUUUAUCAAAAUUAAGACCUUUGAAAUAGAGAAGGUUGUGGGCCUCGUCAUCACCAGGAAAUGACCGCAUCGCUUUUUCACGGAUGUUACCUGGCUGUCUUUUGUUAACUGUCAAAUUGCUACACUGCUGCUAGGAACUUACUUCUUAGCCAAUAUGUAAAAUGUUUAGAAUGUCAAAUACCUGAUGAGUUUCUUAGAUGCGAAUAUGAUAUUCUUUUUUUUUUUUUUUUUUUUUUUUGUAUUUUUCCUUUUUAUCGGUACCAGGGAUUGAACUCACGACUGCCUGCUUGCAAGGCAGGUGCUUAUGCCGCUGAGCUAAAUCCCCAGCCCUGAAGAUGAUAUUCUUAAUGACAUUGAUGAUGUCUGAUGUUUUAAAACCUGGUUUUUUUCUGUUAAUUAAGUGUAUUGGCACAUUUUAGGUAUACGUGCUGAUCACAUUCGCCAUAGGGAACGUGUCCCUGUAUGUGUAUAACUUUCCCCUACAUUCCCUUCAAUCCCUCUUUCUCCCCUUAUUUACAAAAGCUUUGUUUCCACGUUUCCCUUCUUCCCUCACUUUUUAUUUUCUUCCCCCUCCCCCUCGUCCCCCUUCCCAUUGAACAUUUUCUUCCUACUUCACAGUACCUAUUAAACAUUUUGGUCCUUAUUUAUACUUUCAGUUUCUCAGACCAGAGUAACAAUGCAGUAUUUAUGCUUUAUUUCACUUUAGGAGUAUGGUCUCAAGGUGCAUUCAUUUACCUACAAAAGUGUCCAGUUUAUCCUUUUUUUUUUUUUAAUUGUCUUUUUGAGACAGGGUUUCUCUAUGCAUUAGGCUGGCCUUGAGCUCACUUUGUAGCCCAGGCUGGUCUUGAACUUGCAGUGAUCCUCCUGCCUCAGCCUCCAGAGUGCUGGGAUUACAGGCCUGAGCCACAUGCCCGGCCAGUUUAUCCUUCUUUAUGGCUGAGUACUAUUGCAUUGUAUAAAAAUACCACAUCUUUUUUUAUCCUUUCUUCAGUUGAUAGGCAUUUAGAUUGUUUCCAACAUCUGACUAUUACAAACUGUGCUGUUAUAAACAUGGGUACACAUAUGUCACUGUGGUAUGAUGUUUUUAAUUCUUUUGGGAAGAUACCCAGAAGGGGACUAGCUGGGUCAAAUGGAACCCCCAAUCCUAGUUUUUUGAGCACUCCCCUCACUAGUUUCCACAGUGGUUGCCCAGGCUGCAUUCCCACCAACAGUGGAGAAGGGUUCUUUUUUCCCCACAGCCCCUCUAGCAUUUGUUGUUGGUUGAUUUCUUAAUGACAGCCAUUCUUUCUGGGGUGAGGUUGAAUCUCAGCACUGUUUUUUUGUUUGUUUGUUUUGUUUUGUUUUUUGGGUACCAGGAAUCAAACUCAGGACUUUGCCCUUGCCAGGCAGGCGCUUAUGCUACACUUCUGGCUCUCAGUAUUAGUUUAAUUCUCAUUCUCAAUGACCAGUGAUUUUGAAUAAUUUCUCAUAUAUUUAUUUGCCAUUUCCACUUUUUCAUCUGAAAAGUGUCUAUUUAUUUCAGAUGUCAAUUUUUGGAUUGGGCUUUUAAAUUUGGGGUUUCUGAUUUCUUUUUUCAAUUCUGUAUAUAUUCUAGGUAUUAGCCCUUUGAGGAUCAGCUGGGAAAAACUUUUUCCCACACUGUGGGUUGUCUCUUCACACUGUUAGUGUUUUUUCUUGCUGUGAGAAAGCUUUUUAAUAAUAUGAGGUCCCAGUUAUUGAUUCUUUGUGAUAGUUACUGUGCAGUUGGGGUUUUGUUCAUGAAAUUUUGCCUACACCAACAUCUUUAAGAUGUUUAAGAUGCGUCUGGCCCCUGUGUCAAAGAUAAGGUGGCUUAGUGUGUCUGGAGUUGUUUUACCAAUUCCGUUUUCCAGAAGUUUAGUGUUUCUGCUUUAAUAUUUAGAUCUUUGAUCCAUUUUGAUUUUAGUUUAGUGCAUGUCGAGAGAUAUGGGUCCAGCUUUAAUCUUCGGCAUUUAGAGAGCCAGUUUUUCCAGCCCCAUGUAUUAAAGAGGUGAUCUUUCUCCCAAUGAAUGCAUUUGGCCCCUUUGUCAAAGAUAAGGUGGCUCAGUGUGUCUGAAGUUGUUUGUGCAUCUUCUAAUCUGUUUCUCUGAUGCUUGGUCUGUUUUCUCUGAGUACCAUGCUGUAAGAUUGCAUGUCUGAAAUUGUUUCUGCCCACAACAUUCAGAGAAGGGGCCUCUGGAGUCCAGAGCUGCCCAGCAAGGGGUGGGUGAUUCUGAAGGCUCUAAUGCAGAUGGAAGAAGGGGCCUCCUCCGGGGUGGCAGAUUAAGUGUGGGAAAUGGCCAGGGGCUGAGUUCUAAGAGUGGGACUGGUCCUGGGCUUCUUCUCUGGGAUCUGUAGUUAUCAAGAGAGCUCUGAAGUCACUGUGGUUCAAUGCCGUUGCCCUCCUCCUGCUGGCUUCUGGUCAUGGGAAUGCUGAGGCCAGUCACAGCCUUAGGACUUGGGCAGGACCCUGCCCCUCUGGAAAGAGGACCACUGGAAACAACUAACAGCUACUAGGUGGAAGGUCCUUGAAGCUUGCCACAAGCCUAUAGCUGCUCAUUUUUUGCAGCAUUCCUGGUGAGUUUACUGUUCAUUCCCAAAUCCUUCCCUUGGCAUAAGUCAGAAUUUACAGAAAUUUUUUCUUUAAAAUUAGCAGGCAGGGUAUAUGUGUAUGUACUGGGAUCAAACCCAGCGCCAUAUGCAAGCUUAGUGAGUUCUCUACGCCAAACUUUACCAGGCACAUACACUGGACCCUUACAUGGGAAAUUCAUGCAAGGCAGGGUAGGGACCAUGCAGUCAUUUGUGCAGGCCGAGGUCCAGCAGAGUCCUCACCAGGCCCCUGGGCUCCAAGUUCCCAGCUCUGUCUCACACUCAACACUGUCAGGCAGGGUCCAGCCCUGUCACUGCACAACUCUGCACAGAUACUAAUAUUAGAGGCAGCUAAGUUAGACAGAAAAUACUACACAGUCGGAGAGGGACUGAACUCUUAAGAAAUUCAGCACAAAAAUAAAAACAUCAGAUCUGUGACUGGAGGCGCAGCUGAAGAAGGCCAGGCCUAAAGAUAAAGAUGGUGUGGUCAGACCCACGUGUCUCCUUCAGGGAUAAACAGUAACUUGAGACUAUGCUGUGGUCAGCACCACAUGGUCCAGUGAGUCCAGACGGGCAUCAGUCACCCGGGUGGGUGAGCAGAGCUGUGCUCCCAUCUCUUCCCCAAAAUGCCCUUUUCUUUCCCCACAUCCCUGCUGGGCGACUGGUUCCUGAUGGUCAGUAUUAGCUGAGCGGAACCCGGGAUCCCCAGGCUGAAGGCAGUUCUGUCUCCUGGCGUCCACACUGCGCCCUUACUGGAUAAAGUAGCCCUGACCGAGGGCCUCGGGGCCACCAUUCUGGACCCCUCCUGAAAGUCCAGGGGUUGUUCCCCUUCUAUUUCCAAUAAAACCUUCCUAAUUUCCUCCUUUACUCCGCAACUUCAUUCAAUAUGGUGAGGCCACGAGACUCCGCACAUUUGACAGCUGACAGGUAGGGAGUUAUCGUUCUUCUACAUCGUGAUAAUGUGAUACCUCUGCGCUUGCCCGGAUUGUUAGCGCUGGGAAAAACACCCUAGGUGCUGAGGCUGAGCUAGGGUAAGCCAGGUAUGCUGGAAGCAUUUUCUCACAAAAUGAAGACAGCUGGCCACAAAAGAAUGGCUGGGAUAAAAUUUUUUAAAAAGACCAGAGCUACCAGCCAGAUGUGGCGGUGCAUGCCUAUAGCCCAGUACUCAGGAGACUGAGGAAGGAGGAUUGCCAUGAGUUCGAGGCCAGCCUGAGUUACAUGGUGAGGCCUUGUCUCAAAAAAACAAAGGCAGAGCUACCAACCAAAUGAGAACCCCAAAAUAAAAAAUAAAUAGAAAUGGGACAACUGGCAAAUAACAAGUGAUUUUGAGGGGAAAAAAUCCUACACCUUAUGCAAUUCUCCAGAAUCUGCCACCACAAACUUUCAUUCUAACUUAGGCAUAAAUUUUAUAACAUCUGGAAUUCAAUCCUCCCCCAACCCCAGUUUUUCCAGUUCAGAAGCAGAAACGUGGAGAGAAGACUGGACUAUUUUGCUACCCAGCACAGCCUGUGCGAUCCCAACCAUGAAAGCGUUGCCUUGGCAACCAAAUUGCUAACUCACUCCAUUAUCUCCCUGUCUCCCAGGAUGCUGAGGAAUCACAGAAUGUCUCUCCAGAGGGCUCAGGUUGGAGCAGCGUGGUGCUACUUCCUCAGGUAGGAUGGAGACCAGAGAGGGGUGCUCCAUCCGAACACCCCAAGAACCUCUGUGGGGAGAGGGAACAGUGCCCACUGAGCAGUGUUUCCACCCGUGACUGCAAGGAGACAAAAGGCCCCACUUCCCCCACGUUUUCCUGGAAGACAGAGACACAGGGACCUCCAUUGCCAGCUGUGCCCUUUGGGACAGGAUCCCUAGGUUCUGCAGUGUCAGUUACUCAUGGACAACAGGCAUGGGCAGAGAGCCCACCGAGAGCGGCACGAAGAUGAGACUGCCUGGAAGGCGACUGGCCAAUAAUGGACACUGCUCCUUCUGCCACGGGAGGAUUUUGUCUUGUUACACUUGGUGUGUUACUUUGGAAAAAAAAAAAUCUAUACUUUAAAACAAAACAAAAACAUUUAAACACGUAAUUGUCAACUUGACUGGCGUAAGAGACUCCUUUGGGGUGAUGAGAUUCUGGGGCGCUGAAUACCCGGCUGUGCCCACCGCAGAGGUGGCCCGCUGGGGUGCCUGUGGAGGUUGCUGGUGCUCUGCCCUGGGCCUUGCUUCCCAGCGGCCACAAAGGAGCAGCUUUCCUCCUCCACACCCUUCCACUGCCAUGAUCCUCCUUCCGUGGUGGCAGCCGACCAUGAACCCUGAGCCGUGAGACCAAUAAAUCACUCCCUUCCUUAA
Molecule: long non-coding RNA, 7916 nt
Organism: Cavia porcellus (domestic guinea pig)
Lineage: Eukaryota; Metazoa; Chordata; Mammalia; Rodentia; Caviidae
Exons: 9
Source: RefSeq, a predicted model, not a curated record